This 395-nucleotide ribosomal RNA is filed under the name uncultured bacterium. Its description in RNAcentral is "partial 16S ribosomal RNA". It matches the Rfam family "Bacterial small subunit ribosomal RNA", at positions 523 to 918 of the family's 1533-position model. The record is from RNAcentral.
AUACGUAGGGUGCAAGCGUUAAUCGGAAUUACUGGGCGUAAAGCGUGCGCAGGCGGUUUUGUAAGACAGAGGUGAAAUCCCCGGGGUCAACCUGGGGACUGCCUUUGUGACUGCAAGGCUAGAGUACGGCAGAGGGGGAUGGACUUCCGCGUGUAGCAGAAGAAUGCGUAGAUAUGCGGAGGAACACCGAUGGCGAAGGCAAUCCCCUGGGCCUGUACUGACGCUCAUGCACGAAAGCGUGGGGAGCAAACAGGAUUAGAUACCCUGGUAGUCCACGCCCUAAACGAUGUCAACUGGUUGUUGGGUCUUCAUUGACUCAGUAACGAAGCUAACGCGUGAAGUUGACCGCCUGGGGAGUACGGCCGCAAGGUUGAAACUCAAAUGAAUUGACGGGG